GAUGAACGCUGGCGGCGUGCCUAAUACAUGCAAGUCGAGCGAACAGACGAGGAGCUUGCUCCUCUGACGUUAGCGGCGGACGGGUGAGUAACACGUGGAUAACCUACCUAUAAGACUGGGAUAACUUCGGGAAACCGGAGCUAAUACCGGAUAAUAUAUUGAACCGCAUGGUUCAAUAGUGAAAGACGGUUUUGCUGUCACUUAUAGAUGGAUCCGCGCCGCAUUAGCUAGUUGGUAAGGUAACGGCUUACCAAGGCAACGAUGCGUAGCCGACCUGAGAGAGUGAUCGGCCACACGGGAACUGAGACACGGUCCAGACUCCUACGGGAGGCAGCAGUAGGGAAUCUUCCGCAGUGGGCGAAAGCUUGACGGAGCAACGCCGCGUGAGUGAUGAAGAUCUUCGGAUCGUAAAACUCUGUUAUUAGGGAAGAACAAAUGUGUAAGUAACUAUGCACGUCUUGACGGUACCUAAUCAGAAAGCCACGGCUAACUACGUG
RNAcentral lists this ribosomal RNA (497 nucleotides) under uncultured bacterium. Its description in RNAcentral is "partial 16S ribosomal RNA". It matches the Rfam family "Bacterial small subunit ribosomal RNA", at positions 28 to 507 of the family's 1533-position model. The record is from RNAcentral.